RNAcentral lists this ribosomal RNA (253 nucleotides) under uncultured bacterium. Its description in RNAcentral is "partial 16S ribosomal RNA". It matches the Rfam family "Bacterial small subunit ribosomal RNA", at positions 524 to 776 of the family's 1533-position model. The record is from RNAcentral.
UACGGAGGGAGCUAGCGUUGUUCGGAAUUACUGGGCGUAAAGCGCACGUAGGCGGCUUUUUAAGUCAGGGGUGAAAUCCCGGGGCUCAACCCCGGAACUGCCCUUGAAACUGGAGAGCUAGAAUCUUGGAGAGGCGAGUGGAAUUCCGAGUGUAGAGGUGAAAUUCGUAGAUAUUCGGAAGAACACCAGUGGCGAAGGCGACUCGCUGGACAGUGACUGACGCUGAGACGCGAAAGCGUGGGGAGCAAACAGG